AGUUCGCGUAGCGGCUCGAGCGUGGAGAUGAAGCGUAUUUUCUCACUGCUAGAAAAGACUUGGCUUGGCGCACCAAUACAGUUUGCCUGGCAAAAAACAUCAGGAAACUACCUUGCAGUAACAGGAGCUGAUUAUAUUGUGAAAAUCUUUGAUCGCCAUGGUCAAAAAAGAAGUGAAAUUAACUUACCUGGUAACUGUGUUGCCAUGGAUUGGGAUAAAGAUGGAGAUGUCCUAGCAGUGAUUGCUGAGAAAUCUAGCUGCAUUUAUCUUUGGGAUGCCAACACGAAUAAGACCAGCCAGUUAGACAAUGGCAUGAGGGAUCAAAUGUCUUUCCUUCUUUGGUCAAAAGUUGGAAGUUUCCUGGCUGUUGGAACUGUUAAAGGAAAUUUGCUUAUUUAUAAUCAUCAGACAUCUCGAAAGAUUCCUGUCCUUGGUAGGUGAUAGCUGGAAACACUGCUAAAUAUUUGAGAUGCUCUACCUCAAUGUAAAUUCUGCCGCCUCAGGUUUCCCUGAUCUUGCAAUGGAAAUUUUGCAGUACAAACCCCCUCCCCAUGU
Molecule: small RNA, 555 nt
Filed under: Pan troglodytes (chimpanzee)
Lineage: Eukaryota; Metazoa; Chordata; Mammalia; Primates; Hominidae
Description: retained intron
Source: RNAcentral